Molecule: ribosomal RNA, 269 nt
Filed under: uncultured prokaryote
Description: partial 16S ribosomal RNA
Rfam family: Bacterial small subunit ribosomal RNA
Source: RNAcentral
UACGUAGGUGGCGAGCGUUGUCCGGAUUUACUGGGCGUAAAGGGAGCGUAGGCGGACUUUUAAGUGAGAUGUGAAAUACCCGGGCUCAACUUGGGUGCUGCAUUUCAAACUGGAAGUCUAGAGUGCAGGAGAGGAGAAUGGAAUUCCUAGUGUAGCGGUGAAAUGCGUAGAGAUUAGGAAGAACACCAGUGGCGAAGGCGAUUCUCUGGACUGUAACUGACGCUGAGGCUCGAAAGCGUGGGUAGCAAACAGGAUUAGAUACCCGCGUA